GACGAACGCUGGCGGCGUGCUUAACACAUGCCAGUCGAACGGUGAAGCGCCUUCCUUUUUGGUGGGUGUGGAUGAGUGGCGAACGGGUGAGUAACACGUGAGUAACCUGCCCCCCUCUUCUGGAUAACCGCAUGAAAGUGUGGCUAAUACGGGAUAUUCUGGGUCUGUCGCAUGAUGGGUCUGGGAAAGAUAUUGUUUCGGUGGGGGAUGGGCUCGCGGCCUAUCAGCUUGUUGGUGGGGUGAUGGCCUACCAAGGCGGUGACGGGUAGCCGGCCUGAGAGGGUGGACGGUCACACUGGGACUGAGACACGGCCCAGACUCCUACGGGAGGCAGCAGUGGGGAAUAUUGCACAAUGGGCGAAAGCGUGAUGCAGCGACGCCGCGUGAGGGAUGGAGGCCUGCGGGUUGUGAACCUCUUUCGCCAGUGAAGCAGGCCUGCCUCGUUUGUGGGUGGGUUGACGGUAGCUGGAUAAGAAGCGCCGGCUAACUACGUG
This 494-nucleotide ribosomal RNA is filed under the name uncultured bacterium. RNAcentral describes it as "partial 16S ribosomal RNA". It matches the Rfam family "Bacterial small subunit ribosomal RNA", at positions 28 to 507 of the family's 1533-position model. The record is from RNAcentral.